UGGGGAAUUUUGGACAAUGGGCGAAAGCCUGAUCCAGCAAUGCCGCGUGUGUGAAGAAGGCCUUCGGGUUGUAAAGCACUUUUGUCCGGAAAGAAAUCCUUGGCUCUAAGUACAGUCGGGGGAUGACGGUACCGGAAGAAUAAGCACCGGCUAACUACGUGCCAGCAGCCGCGGUAAUACGUAGGGUGCAAGCGUUAAUCGGAAUUACUGGGCGUAAAGCGUGCACAGGCGGUUUGCUAAGACCGAUGUGAAAUCCCCGGGCUCAACCUGGGAACUGCAUUGGUGACUGGCAGGCUAGAGUAUGGCAGAGGGGGGUAGAAUUCCACGUGUAGCAGUGAAAUGCGUAGAGAUGUGGAGGAAUACCGAUGGCGAAGGCAGCCCCCUGGGCCAAUACUGACGCUCAUGCACGAAAGCGUGGGGAGCAAACAGGAUUAGAUACCCUGGUAGUCCACGCCCUAAACGAUGUCAACUAGUUGUUGGGGAUUCAUUUCCUUAGUAACGUAGCUAACGCGUGAAGUUGACCGCCUGGGG
RNAcentral lists this ribosomal RNA (531 nucleotides) under uncultured bacterium. RNAcentral describes it as "partial 16S ribosomal RNA". It matches the Rfam family "Bacterial small subunit ribosomal RNA", at positions 355 to 878 of the family's 1533-position model. The record is from RNAcentral.